CUUCUCUCAGGGCUGCACCUGGAGAGUUUCCGGUACUCUACCAGUCUUGGCUACAGAAGGGAGAGUCAAGCAGAGGCAUACCCAUUCUAUUUCUAGCUUGGACAGUGGCUAGUGAAUGGAAGGCAAUCUGCUACAACU
This 138-nucleotide small nucleolar RNA is filed under the name Ornithorhynchus anatinus (platypus). The record is from RNAcentral. Lineage: Eukaryota; Metazoa; Chordata; Mammalia; Monotremata; Ornithorhynchidae.